This 496-nucleotide ribosomal RNA is filed under the name uncultured bacterium. RNAcentral's name for it is "partial 16S ribosomal RNA". It matches the Rfam family "Bacterial small subunit ribosomal RNA", at positions 28 to 506 of the family's 1533-position model. The record is from RNAcentral.
GAUGAACGCUGGCGGCGUGCCUAAUACAUGCAAGUCGAGCGAACGGACGAGAAGCUUGCUUUUCUGAUGUUAGCGGCGGAGGGGUGAGUAACACGUGGAUAACCUACCUAUAAGACUGGGAUAACUUCGGGAAACCGGAGCUAAUACCGGAUAAUAUUUUGAACCGCAUGGUUCAAAAGUGAAAGACGGUCUUGCGGUCACUUAUAGAUGGAUCCGCGCUGCAUUAGCUAGUUGGUAAGGUAACGGCUUACCAAGGCUACGAUGCAUAGCCGACCUGAGAGGGUGAUCGGCCACACUGGAACUGACACGCGGUCCAGACUCCGACGGGAGGCAGCAGUAGGGAAUCUUCCGCAAUGGGCGAAAGCCUGACGGAGCAACGCCGCGUGAGUGAUGAAGGUCUGCGGAUCGUAAAACGCUGUUAUGAGGGAAGAACAUAUGUGUAAGUAACUGUGCACAUCUUGACGGUACCGAAUCAGAAAGCCACGGCUAACUACGG